Nicotiana tabacum (common tobacco) is the source of this 2039-nucleotide long non-coding RNA. RefSeq lists it as uncharacterized. NCBI's taxonomy places the organism in Eukaryota, Viridiplantae, Streptophyta, Magnoliopsida, Solanales, Solanaceae. The record is from RefSeq and is a predicted model, not a curated record.
AAUUGGUGAUUGAAGUCAUCAACCUAUUCUUUUGUGAACACGUGUAUUCCACAUUUUGUUCAAAAUUCUCUGCUACUACACUUCAAUAGUACAAUCCAGAAACUCCUAUUAUCCUGAUCGAUCAUCUUCUUACUUUUCAUUGUUCAUCGGAGGCCUCCUUUUUGUUCCUUUCUUUUGCUCCUCUCUAACACCUUGAAUUCGUUUCACUUUUCUUUCAGAUUUCUGAAUUUGGUUCCAAAUUAUCACUUUUGAUUUUUCAAUUUCUCAAUUAGUGAGAGUUUUUUGCAUUCUUUUCUUUGUUUAGCGCACCCCUGAUUCUUCCAUGCCUCAUUUCUUAGUUUUCGUCUGAAUUUUUCCAUAUUGGUUACUAUUUGUAUCUGGCCUAUCUUGAAUCUAUGAGUUCUGCCUAGGGUUGUUGCCAUUUUUUCAAUUGUUUGCUAGCUACACCUGGUUGGACUUGCAAGAUACAAGUUGUUGAUAGAAGUCGAGAAUGGGAAAGCGGUGAGAAAAAAAUAAAAUUCUAGAAUCUUAUCUUGCAGGAUGAAGAGGUAAUCUCAUUUAUCGUCUAUGCAUGCACCAAAGUGUUUGAUGAUAUGCCUGAGUCAUUUUAUUUUGAUGAUAUGUCAGAGUCAUUUUAUUUGGAGUUUUCGAUUGCUCUUUCAUAGUAUGCAGUUCUUUGUCUUUUCCAUCUUUCCUUUGGAAUGGAGUGCUACAACCUUGAACUUCUUUUGGUUUCUUAUUCAUUGAACAUUACCAAUAUACUCUAUUACCGCUUCUUUUUCAUUUAAAUUGGUCUAUCAUAAGCGAUAAUUUUAUUUAUGUUUUUGUCAUUAAUAUGUUCUUCAAGCCGGGAGAAUGCAAAUAGUAUGGAUCAAAUGCUAGUUUUCAUGAUUUCUCAAAUAUAAAUUUAUAUUCCAGUUAUUUCCAAAUUUGAAAUGGUACAUAUGUUCUGAGAAUUGAUGUGUAAGAAACAGUGAUGGCACGAAUUAUCAAAAAUCAUAUGCACGAAUAGAUCAUCAUACCUUUUGAUGGGCAAGGGUGGUGCAAUGAUUGGUACUGCACAUAGUGAAUUAAUUUAGACCCCAAAUCUGGAGCAGUUUGUCCCAGACCUGGUUGCAUAUUCUAAUUAAGAUCUGAUAGAAAUCUUUUAUCUAAAGGGCAGAGUCGCCGAAGUGAGUCUAAAUGCCUCCAAUCAAUUGUGAAGUUAGCAAGAUUCUAAUGCUAUUUUUCUGAAACUGAUGACUAUAAUUAUAUACAAUUUAAGUAAUAAACUAAAAGUUACCUAGCCACAAGUCUAACUUGAAGAGUAGCUUCAUCCAUUCAUCGGAGAACUAUACAUUCACUUUUCUUGGCUAUAUGUUGAUCGAUGUAUAGCUUCUCAAAUGCAGUAGGGGCUGACAAUACUGCAUCAGAGAUAUCCCUUAAUUUAUAUCCCCGAGUUGAGUUUAUGUACUAGGAACAAGGAUCAUAGUUGGACAUUUUUCUAUUGGCUCAAGAUUACUACAGAGUUGAUGAAGAAAAGAUGAAGUAAGAAAAAGGAGUUGCGGAAAUAAUUAAUAAAUAGAUGGAGAGGAUUAUGAGAAGCCCUGGUUUGUAUUCACAAAAACUUCCAAAGGCUUUUGGUCUCAGAAACUUGUAUGUGUCAAUAUCAUGAGGUAUUGGUUUUCUAUCUUAAAUAGUAGUUGAAAUUAUGCCAUUUACCUUAUAGAUUAGUAAAAACUAUGUGAGUACUACUAAAUAAUGAUGAGCCUAUUUUCUAAAUGUAGAUUAUCUUUCAGUUAUUUCUACAAAUUUGAAAUGGUACAUGUAUUCUAUGUAUGGUGAUGGCCGAAGAACCAUAGUGUGAUUUUGCUCUUUUGUAUCACGCUGGACAUUUUGGUUGAAGGAUAGCUUUGCUUACUACUGGUCUAUGUCAGAAUGGAGAAAAAAACUAAUAGCACAUUCUAUGAUGAUGUAGUUUUUUUUUAAUAUAUAUAUAUAAUGUUUGAUUCAUGGGUCUUCUCAUGGGCUUAUUGUUAUAAAAUACCCAAUUAUACGGA